CCCCUCUUAAGCCUUGCUUAGUCUUGGGCACUACUGCCUAGUAGGCCUUAAAUCCAGGGUGGACCUCUACAAGACCUGGGCGUACUAGCAGCCCGCCGUCAGAUCUUGUAGGGGGUACCAACUAUUCCGAU
RNAcentral lists this unclassified non-coding RNA (131 nucleotides) under uncultured Ascomycota. RNAcentral's name for it is "sequence contains ITS2". Lineage: Eukaryota; Fungi; Ascomycota. The record is from RNAcentral.